CUCCCCACAUGAAGUACAAAACAGGGAGAGCCAGGAAGGAGGAGGUCGCACGAGCUCUAGCAUGGCCAUCCACCGGAGCAAGGGGGCGCCCUAAUGCUGUAUAUUCUUGCCUUGGACCUCAGGAGCACUGACUAAGGGGAGAAACUGUUAUUCCCUCCUGGGAAUGACAUCUAAGUCCUUCCUCUUUAAGGAAAACAUGUGGAACUAAGUAGUUAAGUGCCAUCUACCAAAAGCCAAGGGUGUGUAGGCAGAUGAGCAGAAGGAGGGAGCAUUUCUCAUGGAGGGAAGUGCACAAGCAAAGAUCCUGGGGCCUCAAAUAACAAGGAAACUUUGUAGAAGAAAUUGGGGGGAUGCAUGCAACUUUUCCCUUGCUUCUGAAAUGAUAACUCUGCAUUCGUUCUCAACCACCAUUAAUCAUGCAUAGCUGUGCUCACUGAGGCAAUGUUUUUGAGAGCCGAUGGAUGAACAAGAUCUUAUUAGCACUGGUUUCCGUGGUUUAUCGCUCAUGGCCAAUGUCACACAGAAUUUUCAGCCAGGAGGGGAACGCCCAGCAGCUGGAUGUCCAGCUGCCAAUUCAUCAGUUUGAGAACCUGUACCCGAGACCUGGGUGACAACUGUAACCACGUGGAGCCACACCCACCCUUUUCAGCACUGAACUGAGCUGCCUGCAGCCCCACCCACCCCAAGUGUAAUCUCUGUCUUCCCCACUAGCUUCCCGCUGGAUCCCCACCAGCAUCUACUCUUCCCUUGCUGGUUUUUUAACUUUGCUGCGACCACCGCUGCUUCUCUGGGCAGAGACCCCCUCAAGCACUCCAAGC
This 818-nucleotide long non-coding RNA is filed under the name Cercocebus atys (sooty mangabey). RNAcentral describes it as "lncRNA (ENSCATG00000045901.1)". The record is from RNAcentral. Lineage: Eukaryota; Metazoa; Chordata; Mammalia; Primates; Cercopithecidae.